Molecule: long non-coding RNA, 437 nt
Filed under: Homo sapiens (human)
Lineage: Eukaryota; Metazoa; Chordata; Mammalia; Primates; Hominidae
Description: HSALNT0154130
Source: RNAcentral
UCCUAAAUAGUCCUAUGAAAGGACUGUGUCCUAUGAAAGACAGAGUAUACAGGGCAAAUUUAAAAGUCUGCUUAAGGAAAAGAAUGGAGAAAGAAGAGCAAAAGUGACAAUGACAAAGAAAAAGGGAUGACCUGAGAUUGGUGAUAGAUUAACAGGUUUGUUAAUAAAGGAACAUAAAACUCUUGCACGACCCAGAGGAUUACACUCCAGAAGAAAGAGAUCAGAGGUAAAAGUGGGAAGCGGUUUUAAAAUAAGGAAUAAUUUGUUUGGUAAGAAGGAGGGAGAGUGGAGAAGUGGGGAGAAGUCAGAGAGGUUGAAAUUAUUUUUCAUGAAAUAUAGCACACAUAUAAAAAGCAUGUAAAACAAUGUGUAUUGUUUAAUGAACAAAAUUAAAAUGAACAGUAGUAUCAAGGCAAGAAAUAGAAUAUUACCAAUAC